RNAcentral lists this ribosomal RNA (490 nucleotides) under uncultured bacterium. RNAcentral describes it as "partial 16S ribosomal RNA". It matches the Rfam family "Bacterial small subunit ribosomal RNA", at positions 30 to 507 of the family's 1533-position model. The record is from RNAcentral.
AUUGAACGCUGGCGGCAGGCCUAACACAUGCAAGUCGAACGGUAACAGGAAGAAGCUUGCUUCUUUGCUGACGAGUGGCGGACGGGUGAGUAAUGUCUGGGAAACUGCCUGAUGGAGGGGGAUAACUACUGGAAACGGUAGCUAAUACCGCAUAAUGUCGCAAGACCAAAGAGGGGGACCUUCGGGCCUCUUGCCAUCGGAUGUGCCCAGAUGGGAUUAGCUAGUAGGUGGGGUAACGGCUCACCUAGGCGACGAUCCCUAGCCGGUCUGAGAGGAUGACCAGCCACACUGGAACUGAGACACGGUCCAGACUCCUACGGGAGGCAGCAGUGGGGAAUAUUGCACAAUGGGCGCAAGCCUGAUGCAGCUAUGCCGCGUGUAUGAAGAAGGCCUUCGGGUUGUAAAGUACUUUCAGCGGGGAGGAAGGGAGUAAAGUUAAUACCUUUGCUCAUUGACGUUACCCGCAGAAGAAGCACCGGCUAACUCCGUG